AUACGUAGGUGGCGAGCGUUAUCCGGAUUUACUGGGUGUAAAGGGCGUGUAGGCGGGCUGACAAGUCGGAUGUGAAAUUCCCGGGCUUAACCCGGGCGGGUCAUCCGAAACUGUCGGUCUUGAGUACUGGAGAGGAUAGUGGAAUUUCUAGUGUAGCGGUAAAAUGCGUAGAUAUUAGGAGGAACACCAGUGGCGAAGGCGGCUAUCUGGACAGUAACUGACGCUGAGGCGCGAAAGCGUGGGGAGC
RNAcentral lists this ribosomal RNA (247 nucleotides) under uncultured bacterium. RNAcentral describes it as "partial 16S ribosomal RNA". It matches the Rfam family "Bacterial small subunit ribosomal RNA", at positions 523 to 769 of the family's 1533-position model. The record is from RNAcentral.